GAUGAACGCUGGCGGCGUGCCUAAUACAUGCAAGUCGAGCGAACGGACGAGAAGCUUGCUUCUCUGAUGUUAGCGGCGGACGGGUGAGUAACACGUGGAUAACCUACCUAUAAGACGGGGAGAACUUCGGGAAACCGGAGCUAAUACCGGAGAAUAUUUUGAACCGCAUGGUUCAAAAGUGAAAGACGGUCUUGCUGUCACUUAUAGAUGGAUCCGCGCUGCAUUAGCUAGUUGGUAAGGUAACGGCUUACCAAGGCAACGAUGCAUAGCCGACCUGAGAGGGUGAUCAGCCACACUGGAACUGAGACACGGUCCAGACUCCUACGGGAGGCAGCAGUAGGGAAUCUUCCGCAAUGGGCGAAAGCCUGACGGAGCAACGCCGCGUGAGUGAUGAAGGUCUUCGGAUCGUAAAACUCUGUUAUUAGGGAAGAACAUAUGUGUAAGUAACUGUGCACAUCUUGACGGUACCUAAUCAGAAAGCCACGGCUAACUACGUG
RNAcentral lists this ribosomal RNA (497 nucleotides) under uncultured bacterium. Its description in RNAcentral is "partial 16S ribosomal RNA". It matches the Rfam family "Bacterial small subunit ribosomal RNA", at positions 28 to 507 of the family's 1533-position model. The record is from RNAcentral.